Notolabrus celidotus (New Zealand spotty) is the source of this 1050-nucleotide long non-coding RNA. RefSeq lists it as uncharacterized. NCBI's taxonomy places the organism in Eukaryota, Metazoa, Chordata, Actinopteri, Labriformes, Labridae. The record is from RefSeq and is a predicted model, not a curated record. The transcript has 2 exons.
AUAGGGCUGCUCUCUCUGCUGCUGCUGCUCGGUGGUGCAGUGAUUCUUUAAUAUGUGCUCUCCCUCUGGAUCAGCUCUGCUUCUAUCUUUAUCUCUUCUGUCUGAAGGGGAUUUCCACAGCUCGAGUCUGAUUCCAUCUGGAGGAGGAAGAACUCCUGACUGAGCUUGAGACAAAGAACACACACAUUUAGUCCAAAACAAAAGAAAGUUUCUCACACAUGGAACUUUAAAUUUAGCACACACACUCAUCCCAUGCUGUGUGUGCAGCUGAGCAGCAGCUGUGUGUGUGUGCGUGCGUGCGUGUGUGAGAGUGUGUGUGUGUGCGCUCUCAGGACUGCAGUCAGAGGGAGUUUCUGCAGCAGCUCGUGUUCCUGAUUUGGCCUUAAGGCUCACUGAAGUAAAAGUGAAAGCAUGAAGAGAGAUCAGCCGUUUGCUCCUUUGUUAGGUUCAUCCAACGUUUAAGAACACUCUGGAUUUAUUAUCUCUUUAGACAGAACCUCUGUGUGGAAUAACCUUCAGGAUCCAUGGUUUACAGUCCACAGGAUAUCGUCUGCAGAAGGAGGAAGACUGCGGGAUCACCGUGAAGGAACUGUGUCUGAAAUCAUAAGACAGACUGUGGGAACUGAGUCUGAACAAUAAGUCAGAUUUUAAAGUUUCACAUCUGCAUUUGAACUUUCUCAUGAUGGUGUCCUCUCCACACUCUGAGUCUCUUUUACAUCCCGAACACGUCCACCGGAUCUCUGUCGCUGUGAUGUUUCUGUGAGAGAUGAUUCACCAUCGGAAACAUGAAACAGAUCUUUAUGAUGAGCGAGGCAUCAUAAACUGGAUGAAAGCAGUUUCUAUAUAGCAGCAGGCCAUCACCCUGACCUCGGUUUGAUUAGUUAAUGAUCCACUUGUUAUGUAGCCUGUUAGCUCACAGUUACAGUUUAAUCAUGACAGAUGAGAAGCUCCAUGCAGAGUGGUCGGCGUCUGAAUAAAGUGUUGGUUUGAUGUUAUGCUGGAUGAAACUGUGUGCUGCUUUUGAUUAUCCCAAUAAAUCUAUAAACGUCU